Long non-coding RNA from Pocillopora damicornis (cauliflower coral), 256 nucleotides. RefSeq lists it as uncharacterized. The record is from RefSeq and is a predicted model, not a curated record. Lineage: Eukaryota; Metazoa; Cnidaria; Anthozoa; Scleractinia; Pocilloporidae.
UCUAAACUGUGCUGGAAAACGGGGCUAAUGAAGGACGAUAAGGGCCUUCCAGAGGAUGUCUUUGCCAAAACCAAACGCCGAAUUUGUGAUACUGCUCUGCGCAUGGGUUGUGGCCAACCUGAACGUUUAAGUAGAAAUAAUCAGCACCAAUGAAAAGAACUGUUUGUUUUUUCGAAAAAAAAAUGUUCAUUCCUGUAUAAAUACUUAAUUCGUAGGGAAUGAUGUGUCAAUUAAAGCUAAAACAUUGCUGUCAUGA